UAUAUGCCCAUAAAUACUAGCCAGAGAAAAUAAGCAAAAGGUUGGCAACCUUUUCCAGAUAUUAACCCUUAAUAUGUCAAACUAGAAAUUCUGUGGUUUAUCUAGACCACAAUAUUAACUGUUACUUCUGACCUCCUUUAUAUUGUGAACUUUUUCUCCACAGGGUGUUUGCUUAUAAUUUCUGAUAAUUAUGUAAAAAGUUAUUUUUGACAGAAGCCUAAAAAAGGGCUGGGUUCACUUCAGGGAAGAAGAGGUCUCCAGAAAUCUCAUCUGUCUCUCACUACUGCUUACUCAGAAAAACUCAUUUUGUUCAGUACUUCUAGAUUUAGCUGAAUGGGGUGGGAAAGAGGAAAUGUGUAAAACUGCGUAACGGCACCUGGUGCGCUGCCAUGUCCUUGUUGCUCAGAAGCUGGCCCUGAAGAUGGAGACAUCCCACAACCCCAAAGGUGACAGCUCAGUGACAUGGAGCAUGGGAAAGACUUACCUCCACAGGACAGCUCAUCCUGCAGCAGAACAAGGUGGACUGGGCA
Molecule: long non-coding RNA, 530 nt
Organism: Corapipo altera (White-ruffed manakin)
Lineage: Eukaryota; Metazoa; Chordata; Aves; Passeriformes; Pipridae
Exons: 3
Source: RefSeq, a predicted model, not a curated record